GACGAACGCUGGCGGCGUGCCUAAUACAUUCAAGUAGAACGCUGACUACUUUAGCUUGCUAGAGUAGAAGGAGUUGCGAACGGGUGAGUAAAGCGUAGGUAACCUGCCUACUAGCGGGGGAUAACUAUUGGAAACGAUAGCUAAUAACGCAUAACAGUGUUUAACACAUGUUAGAUGCUCGAAAGAUGCAAUUGCAUCAAUAGUAGAUUGACCUCCGUUAUAUUAGCUAGUUGGUGGGGUAACUGCCCACCAAGGCGACGAUACAUAUCCGACCUGAGAGGGUGAUCGGCCACACUGGGACUGAGACACGGCCCAGUCUCCUACGGGAGGCAGCAGUAGGGAAUCUUCGGCAAUGGGGGCAACCCUGACCGAGCAACGCCGCGUGAGUGAAGUAGGUUUUCGGAUCGUAAAGCUCUGUUGUAAGAGAAGAACGUGUGUGAGAGUGGAAAGUUUACACAGUGACGGUAACUUACCAGAAAGGGACGGCUAACUACGUGCCAGCAGCAGCCGCGG
This 513-nucleotide ribosomal RNA is filed under the name uncultured bacterium. RNAcentral's name for it is "partial 16S ribosomal RNA". It matches the Rfam family "Bacterial small subunit ribosomal RNA", at positions 28 to 523 of the family's 1533-position model. The record is from RNAcentral.